CAAAGAUAUUGGCAAACUUAUAGAAAUAUAAGGACGCAAAGCUAGAAGUCUAAGGCAGAUAUGCAUAGAUAGUUCGGUUGCAAUG
RNAcentral lists this non-coding RNA (85 nucleotides) under Clostridium sp. RNAcentral's name for it is "c-di-GMP sequence". It matches the Rfam family "c-di-GMP-I riboswitch aptamer". From Rfam's summary of the family: GEMM was predicted in a large-scale screen for bacterial structured RNA regulatory elements. Genes associated with GEMM are involved in a diverse array of functions, including chemotaxis regulation, signal transduction, secretion and chitin. The record is from RNAcentral. Lineage: Bacteria; Bacillati; Bacillota; Clostridia; Eubacteriales; Clostridiaceae.